AUUGAACGCUGGCGGCAUGCCUUACACAUGCAAGUCGAACGGUAGAGUAGCAAUACUUGAGAGUGGCGAACGGGUGAGUAAUGCAUCGGAACAUGCCCAGUCGUGGGGGAUAACGUAGCGAAAGUUACGCUAAUACCGCAUACGAUCUAUGGGUGAAAGCCGGGGACUCGCAAGAGCCUCGCGCGAUUGGAGUGGCGGAUGUCAGAUUAGGUAGUUGGUGGGGUAAAAGCUCACCAAGCCAACGAUCUGUAGCUGGUCUGAGAGGAGGACCAGCCACACUGGGACUGAGACACGGCCCAGACUCCUACGGGAGGCAGCAGUGGGGAAGUUUGGACAAUGGACGAAAGUCUGAUCCAGCAAUGCCGCGUGCAGGACGAAGGCCUUCGGGUUGUAAACUGCUUUUGUACGGAGCGAAAAGCUUUGGAUUAAUACUCCGAGGUCAUGACGGUACCGUAAGAAUAAGCACCGGCUAACUACGUGCCAGCAGCCGCAGUAA
Molecule: ribosomal RNA, 496 nt
Filed under: uncultured bacterium
Lineage: Bacteria
Description: partial 16S ribosomal RNA
Rfam family: Bacterial small subunit ribosomal RNA
Source: RNAcentral